GAGGACUCAGCUACUGGGGAAGCCUAGGUCAGAAGAAGUGUUUCUUUAUUUACUUAACAGUUGUUAAGUGAAUUUACAAGUGUGUUUUUGAUAACAAGACAUCAGAAAUUGGUCUGAUGCCCCAAUGUUGUAUGCAUUUUUUCUCAGGAAAUAGUUGCCCUGUCAGAGAAGGCACUCUCAAAACUGGAGAAGAAAGGGCUUAUAAUGCACGACCCCUCAUAGAAGAUUUUUUUUUAAUAAAAAAUUUCUCUCUUCGCCCUGUCAAUUAUGAACAGGAGGCGAAGCUGGCCGUCUUUUACAGAACUUUGGAAUUUAUUUGCAAAAGGUUGAACGGAUAUUGUAUUUUGCUGAAAACAUUAAAAGUUGUACAAAUAAAUAGGAAAACGAGUUGCAACGAUGAAGUCUUUUUCAACAGGUGAUUUUGCACGGCUCAAACCCAAUCCAUGGAAUACAGCGAAAAGGGGGAAAAGGAUGAAUUUGUUUUUAAAGGUUUUUGAACCACCAGGUAGCUGGAAAGAGGGCGUGUAGGUACAGAUUUAGGCAGAAAAUAGAUAGAUAGAUAGAUAGAUAGAUA
Molecule: long non-coding RNA, 574 nt
Organism: Thamnophis elegans (Western terrestrial garter snake)
Lineage: Eukaryota; Metazoa; Chordata; Lepidosauria; Squamata; Natricidae
Exons: 2
Source: RefSeq, a predicted model, not a curated record